This is a non-coding RNA of Meleagris gallopavo (turkey), 3181 nucleotides long. Lineage: Eukaryota; Metazoa; Chordata; Aves; Galliformes; Phasianidae. The record is from RefSeq and is a predicted model, not a curated record.
CAGAGAAAUUGGGGAAUUCAGAACCCAGAUGGCCAGUUUCAUAUGGAAUGAGUUAUUACAGGGAGCUGCAUUUAAGGUAGUUGGUAUAAGAAUGAUACAGGAAAACUCCAUCCAGAGGAUCUGUGAUUUGUACAGUUUGCUGGUUUUCCUUCUGAGGAGCUGGUCCAGGAUUAUAUAGGAAGGGUUAUGUGAAGAUAUACCUCAAAUUUACCACUGGGAGUGGAGAAUCAUAUCUGGGAGUGACCAAGGAAUCCCUACAACAGGAGGCUCAGAGAAGACAAGCAAGGACAGUGUGCUCACAAAGCUCAGAAAAUAACAUAGCAAGCAACUAUAACUACUGGAAGAGAAGCUGGACUAAUCUCAACACCAAAGGGUGUCCAUCAUUGUAGAUAAACAGCUGUGUCAGUUGAGUAAAUGUAAAUGGCUUUCCCUAAAAUAAUCCACAGAAUGUACUGCCUUUCUGAGCCAGCCAGAGCAAUAAGGGGGAAGUGCAUAUGUGGCUCAGUCCAAAACAAUAUAAAAACCAACCAAACUGACCCUUGAAGAGAAGAACAGGCUUCAGGAGGCUUCAAGCCAUUUGUUCUUCUUGGUAGCUGAGGACACUCAGCAUCAUGAUGCUUUGACUAGUAAUGUGAACCAUAUUUGAUUCAACUGCAUCUUGCAAUUGCUACACUGUGCUUGUGUUAUGAUUUCAGUAUAUUGUUGUAUCACUUUUCUACAUUAAAAUCCCUUGUAAUGCAAAUACCUUCUAAUAAGCAAAUUUAGUAUUAAAACAUUGAAUCUUUCUCAUAUGGAAUAUCUAAAAGAAUGUGGUCAGGGAACACUCUGAGUACAAAAUGUAUGAGGAGAAAUGGUUUAGAACUUGAUGUUGUGUUUCACAGCACUGAGGAAAAGCUGCUUUUAAUCUCCUCUGGGAUUAUUCUUUGCUAAUUAGAAAUUUGGAUAAGACAGAAAAAACCCUAAACCAUCAUUGAUUUUAAAACAUAACUGAGUUGUUUCUAACUACUCAGCAUCCCUUGAAAUGAAGAGACUAGGAACGUUAGAUUAGUAAUUAGAUCAGCUCACUCCAAUUUUGCAUUUUCAAAAAGAAAAUAUUAUGUUAAUUAGCGGGUUCUCUAGUCUCUAUUUUAUGCUCAAGUUUUCAUUCCUUAUUUCCUCAAUUAUCUGGCAUAAAAGAAUUUAUAUAACCUACAUACUUUGCUGAAGAGCUAUAUUACAGUCUUGUAGACUUGUUUCUUGUAUAAACUCCAGAGAAUUUUGGCACACCACAAAGGGCAGAGCUCUCUUCAAACAGCUGUGGUGAAAAACUGUUACCUCCUCAUCUCAUGGACUUACAGAAGAUUUCUUCUUACCAAUUUUACUGCCAAUCUUUUUCUACAUUUGCUUUUAGUCCUUUAGCAGACAUGGCUAAUGAACGAAAUAUAUAGUAAGAAGAGGUCUGUCAAGCUGGUAAGAACAGCCUGCCUCCUUCAGCUCUGAAAUGCCAGCCUCUCAGAGGUGAGUUACCAAACUAUACAACAGUACUUGGCCAAAAUGGCUCUGAACCUGAAGAGUUUAUCACUAUAUCAAUUUGAGUUUGCAAGGGAAAAUCCAAGUUUGCCACAUGCAGGAUAGCAGAAUGCUUUACACAAUCAGGCUGUAUAAAAGUUUAAGCUCUAAAUAUCAGUUUCUCCUCUAGAAGACAGCACCAAGAUGCCACUAUAAAUUUAAGGCAAUAGGUCAGAAGAGAAAGCCUGGCAUUGAUGGCUUAUUCCCAAACUCACCUGCCUACUGCCUAUCUCAACACACAUUCUGAUUUCUUCCUCAGAAAAAACUGUCUGAGAGCUCCAACACCUCUUACAUUCAAUUCCUGCUGGGAAUCACAAGUGGUACCCUAUGGUACUACUUUUGUGAGGCCCUGCAACACUCUUCUAUCAGAAUGAAUGUCCUGUAUCCCACAGCCAAAGGCUGCAGCAGUUGGCUUCCAAGCCCUGUUUUAUCUGACAUGGUGCUGGUCACUGAACUGCACCUUUCUGUUUUCUGGAGGGAGUCUCUCUAUUGGGAUCUAAGCUUUUCUGCAUCACUUAAUACAGAGUCAGUUAAUACAGUUAAAACAGCUCUGAAAGUCAGUGGUAGCAGAAAAAGACAUGAAAAUAAGCCAGUGUUGGCUGGGGCUCUUGUUAAGGGCACAACAGUUCUGCUUACCUUGCCUAACCCACAUCAAAGGAGAAACAAGACAUCAGGUGGAAAGGGAGGUCACUGUUCAUAAAGGUCAUGGUGCUCAAUGCAGAUCAGCUGUAGGAAGCUGAUCAGGUGGGAUUAGUACACAAAAUAGUGCUGGAUGCAGUCACUGUAGAGAACCACACUAUGCAUCUGCUGAGCUCUAUGGCCAAAGAUCACAUGUUCCAGUGUGGGGCAGGCCAAGAGCACGUAUCAACACUGUAGAGAAACCUGUGAUCUCUCUAGUAACUGCAACUCAGUCUGAUCCAUCAGCCAUCUCAGUAUUCAUCAAAUUGAAAUUCCUAUUACUGCUGUUGGUCUGUGGGCAUUUAAACCCUUUUUACUUUAUGAAAAUACAUAUAAAAAUGGAAAUUUCUGGAAAAGUUUCCUUUAGAAUAUGUGUCGUUUUAUUGGUUUAGACACUUUACAGAAUCAGAGUCCUCAAGCAAUAAAAGAAUCUGAUCAGGGAAAUAAAAAUUUAACAUCCGCCAUGAAUUCUCCUCCUUUAACUAUGCUAGUAAGGCUUUCAUAUUUAUAGCUGAAGAUUAACAUGUUCAUGGGAUAAUAAAUUACACCGGAUCUAAUUACUACAUCACCAGCAAUAGUUUUUCAUAGAUGCUGACAGGCCUUAAAUUGGGAUGCGUCCUUUAAUUCUGCUCUUAACCUUCAGAUGAAUCUCCCAGGCAGAAGUACAAAGGGAACAGAGCAGUGGUCAUGAUGGGGACACAGUUCUUUCAGUAGACCACCAACCCUAUGAAAACAAGAUACUGCGAAAGUCCUGGUCUCACUUAAAUCUAUGGCAGAGUCCUUUUGAGCAAAGAGUGGCGAGGAUUUCAUCUUUGGUAUCACUCCACUGUUGGUCCAAACCCCUGGGUGUAAGGUCAAGCAUUUAUGUAGGUUUGAGAGAUGAGAGUCCAAAUGUUGCUGCUGUCUGUUAACCACUGAGGUGAGAUGGGGGACAAAGCUGUAGGUAAAAGCUCCA